RNAcentral lists this ribosomal RNA (434 nucleotides) under uncultured bacterium. RNAcentral describes it as "partial 16S ribosomal RNA". It matches the Rfam family "Bacterial small subunit ribosomal RNA", at positions 29 to 507 of the family's 1533-position model. The record is from RNAcentral.
AGCGAACGCUGGCGGCAGGCCUAACACAUGCAAGUCGAACGAACCUUUCGGGGUUAGUGGCGGACGGGUGAGUAACACGUGGGAACGUGCCUUUAGGUUCGGAAUAACUCAGGGAAACUUGUGCUAAUACCGAAUGUGCCCUUCGGGGGAAAGAUCUAUCGCCUUUAGAGCGGCCCGCGUCUGAUUAGCUAGUUGGUUGAGGUAAUGGCUCACCAAGGCGACGAUCAGUAGCUGGUCUGAGAGGAUGAUCAGCCACAUUGGGACUGAGACACGGCCCUAACUCCUACGGGAGGCAGCAGUGGGGAAUCUUGCGCAAUGGGCGAAAGCCUGACGCAGCCAUGCCGCGUGAAUGAUGAAGGUCUUAGGAUUGUAAAAUUCUUUCACCGGGGACGAUAAUGACGGUACCCGGAGAAGAAGCCCCGGCUAACUUCGUG